UACGUAGGGACCAAGCGUUGUUCGGAUUUACUGGGCGUAAAGGGCGCGUAGGCGGCGUGGUAAGUCACUUGUGAAAUCUCUGAGCUUAACUCAGAACGGCCAAGUGAUACUGCUGUGCUAGAGUGCAGAAGGGGCAAUCGGAAUUCUUGGUGUAGCGGUGAAAUGCGUAGAUAUCAAGAGGAACACCUGAGGUGAAGACGGGUUGCUGGGCUGAUACUGACGCUGAAGCGCGAAAGCGAGGGUAGCAAACGGG
This 253-nucleotide ribosomal RNA is filed under the name uncultured bacterium. RNAcentral's name for it is "partial 16S ribosomal RNA". It matches the Rfam family "Bacterial small subunit ribosomal RNA", at positions 524 to 776 of the family's 1533-position model. The record is from RNAcentral.